RNAcentral lists this ribosomal RNA (253 nucleotides) under uncultured bacterium. Its description in RNAcentral is "partial 16S ribosomal RNA". It matches the Rfam family "Bacterial small subunit ribosomal RNA", at positions 524 to 776 of the family's 1533-position model. The record is from RNAcentral.
UACGGAGGGUGCAAGCGUUAAUCGGAAUUACUGGGCGUAAAGCGUGCGCAGGCGGUGUUGUAAGACAGAUGUGAAAUCCCCGGGCUCAACCUGGGAACUGCAUUUGUGACUGCAUCGCUAGAGUACGGCAGAGGGGGAUGGAAUUCCGCGUGUAGCAGUGAAAUGCGUAGAUAUGCGGAGGAACACCGAUGGCGAAGGCAAUCCCCUGGGCCUGUACUGACGCUCAUGCACGAAAGCGUGGGGAGCAAACAGG